CCUCUGCCUCCGCCUCCGCCUAUCGUCCAGAAACCCUAGCUCCGUCAAGGGUCUUUGUCCUUGGACUGCCGUGCUCCCUCUACUUGGGAAUCAAAUUGUUGAUCAUUCGCCUUGGGAUGAUGCUCUCUUCUUUUAGGGUUUCGCUGUUUGUUUAUGUUGGUCUACUCUUUGAACGUUUCUUUCUUAUUGGAAAUACUGCUGCUCGAAGCUUUGUCGUUGGAGAUAUUGCGAGGCGAUUUUUUGUUGCUUAUUACAGUCUUAACAAUCUGGCAAGUUAUCCAUCGUCUUAUUUGAUCAACGGGAAGAGUGUGGAAGGCGAGUUCAUAUCAUUGCAGUUUUGACACGCCCGAUCCUAUUUUGGCAAGUGUAGAAUCUAAUCUUGAAAGUCGCGAAGAAAAAUAAAAGGCAAAAAAAGGAGAAAGCUAGGACUAGAGGUAGGUAACAAAGUGACAAUUAACACCAUCGUUCCUCUUAUAUAUUAUAGCCUAGUGGAGUCACACUAAGACUGUGCAGCCGAAGGGAGUUAGUGAUGUUCACCAUUCGAGCAUUGGAGUAUGGUAAUUUUUUACCAUUCAACUGCAUCAGCCUUUUUAAAUGCUUUAAAAUUAGAACGAAAGUAGGAAUAGGCAAAAAAGAAAGUACUGGAGCAAGAUCCCUGUACUGCUUUGGAUGUAUCCCAUUGCUAAUGUACAAUUGUUUAAAGAACUUGCUUUUGGGCUAUCAUGUGUUUUCCUAUAGUUGAAACUGCAAGGCUUUCUUUUAUUUAAUCAUUCAUCUGAACUUCAGUCUUAUAGCAUAUGUCAAAUAGCUGUUUGAGAAAGUUGCAGCGAGUGUUUGACAUGUUUAAAUAGCCUAUCUAGGUAUCUUCUUUUUUACCCUGAGUUCAUGACACAGUAGAAGAAAGAUUCCAAAUUACUAAUUUAUGAAGACAAGGACAGACAGAUUUACAUUUUCAGAAUCUGUUGGUUUUUUAUCUGUCAUUUCUUAAAUGCAGUAAAUUGUCAUAUUUAGUGAAUACGUAGUUGUAAACAGCGGAGAUAUAAUGGUCCUUGAAACGGAUACUUCCUUUUGAGAUAAUUUAAUUCAUCUUUCAGACUUGAA
Molecule: long non-coding RNA, 1101 nt
Organism: Musa acuminata AAA Group (dessert banana)
Lineage: Eukaryota; Viridiplantae; Streptophyta; Magnoliopsida; Zingiberales; Musaceae
Exons: 2
Source: RefSeq, a predicted model, not a curated record